Non-coding RNA from Schizosaccharomyces pombe (fission yeast), 293 nucleotides. NCBI's taxonomy places the organism in Eukaryota, Fungi, Ascomycota, Schizosaccharomycetes, Schizosaccharomycetales, Schizosaccharomycetaceae. The record is from the annotation of a GenBank genome assembly.
CAUAUGAUAAUAUAUAUUAUACGAUCGGGAGAAGUUAAGUCGUCCUUCAUAUUCUUAUACGGGUGGAUUUAAGUGGACAAGGUGCUUGUGUUAAAUCAAUGAUAUACAUUUAUUGUUUGGAUUUUUAUUUUUUUAUUUUUUUUUUUUUAUUUGAUAAUAUUUCGCCCAAACGAACGUGUUGCAUUUCAUUAAGUUUCUGGAUUUUUCAUGGUAUGUGCAUAUUAUUACGACAGUUUGACUAUUUAGAACCAAAUAAAUGUUAGCAAAAUAACAACAAAAGAAAUACAUAGAGA